Molecule: ribosomal RNA, 738 nt
Filed under: Triticum aestivum (bread wheat)
Lineage: Eukaryota; Viridiplantae; Streptophyta; Magnoliopsida; Poales; Poaceae
Description: partial small subunit ribosomal RNA
Source: RNAcentral
AUGGAUUCCAGAACAGCAUUCUGCGGCGCUCUGCUACUGCUGGUGACGCUGCUGCCUCUUUCAGCCAGCGCGCCGAGCAAACUCUACAUUGUGUAUAUGGGGGAGAAGAAACAUGAUGAGCCGUCCGUGGUCAUCGCGUCGCACCAUGACAUGCUAAUAUCUGUUUUUGGGAGCAAGGAUGAAGCCGUGAGGCCGAUAGUUUACAGUUACAAGCAUGGAUUUUCUGGGUUCGCGGCUAUGCUAACAAAAUCUCAAGCUGUGGCAAUCGCAAAAUUUCCUGAAGUUGUCUCUGUGAAGCCUAAUAUUUUUCACAAAACGCACACAACUCGGAGCUGGGAUUUCCUUGGCCUUGACUAUAAUCAACCGCCACAACAACCGGGGCUCCUCAAAAGAGCAAAGUAUGGUGAAGAUGUCAUUAUGGGUGUGAUCGAUACAGGCAUAUGGCCUGAAUCACGAAGCUUUGAUGACAACGGCUAUGGCCCCGUGCCGGCACGGUGGAAAGGAAAAUGCCAGAGUGGCGAGAAGUUCAACGCCACUGGUUGCAACAGAAAGAUCAUCGGUGCGCGGUGGUAUGGCCGUGGCAUCAGUGCCGAGUCACUAAAGAUCGACUACAAGUCACCUAGGGACCUCAAUGGCCAUGGCACACACGUCGCCUCAACUAUCGCCGGUGGGGAAGUGCAGGGCGUGAGCUAUGGAGGCCUAGGCAUGGGCGUGGCACGUGGCGGAGCACCACAUUGA